This 253-nucleotide ribosomal RNA is filed under the name uncultured bacterium. RNAcentral describes it as "partial 16S ribosomal RNA". It matches the Rfam family "Bacterial small subunit ribosomal RNA", at positions 524 to 776 of the family's 1533-position model. The record is from RNAcentral.
UACGGAGGGAGCUAGCGUUGUUCGGAAUUACUGGGCGUAAAGCGCACGUAGGCGGCUUUGUAAGUCAGAGGUGAAAGCCUGGAGCUCAACUCCAGAACUGCCUUUGAUACUGGAGAGCUUGAGUUCGGGAGAGGUGAGUGGAACUGCGAGUGUAGAGGUGAAAUUCGUAGAUAUUCGCAAGAACACCAGUGGCGAAGGCGGCUCACUGGCCCGAUACUGACGCUGAGGUGCGAAAGCGUGGGGAGCAAACAGG